RNAcentral lists this ribosomal RNA (450 nucleotides) under uncultured bacterium. RNAcentral's name for it is "bacterial SSU rRNA". It matches the Rfam family "Bacterial small subunit ribosomal RNA", at positions 28 to 468 of the family's 1533-position model. The record is from RNAcentral.
GACGAACGCUGGCGGCGUGCCUAAUACAUGCAAGUCGAGCGGAACCAUUGGAGCUUGCUCCUUUGGUUCAGCGGCGGACGGGUGAGUAACACGUGGGCAACCUGCCCUGCAGAUCGGGAUAACUCCGGGAAACCGGUGCUAAUACCGAAUAGUUUUUUGCCUCUCCUGAGGCGAAACGGAAAGACGGUUUCGGCUGUCACUGCAGGAUGGGCCCGCGGCGCAUUAGCUAGUUGGUGGGGUAAUGGCCUACCAAGGCGACGAUGCGUAGCCGACCUGAGAGGGUGAUCGGCCACACUGGGACUGAGACACGGCCCAGACUCCUACGGGAGGCAGCAGUAGGGAAUCUUCCGCAAUGGACGCAAGUCUGACGGAGCAACGCCGCGUGAGUGACGAAGGUUUUCGGAUCGUAAAACUCUGUUGUGAGGGAAGAACAAGUACCACGUAACUACU